Molecule: ribosomal RNA, 506 nt
Filed under: uncultured bacterium
Lineage: Bacteria
Description: partial 16S ribosomal RNA
Rfam family: Bacterial small subunit ribosomal RNA
Source: RNAcentral
GAUGAACGCUAGCUACAGGCUUAACACAUGCAAGUCGAGGGGUAACAAGAGAAAAGCUUGCUUUUCUUGUUGACGACCGGCGCACGGGUGAGUAACGCGUAUCCAACCUGCCUAUAACUAGGGAAUAACCUUGCGAAAGUAAGACUAAUACCCUAUGAUUUCCUUUGAUGGCAUCAGAUUAGGAAUAAAGAUUUAUCGGUUAUAGAUGGGGAUGCGUCUGAUUAGCUUGUUGGCGGGGUAACGGCCCACCAAGGCAAGGAUCAGUAGGGGUUCUGAGAGGAAGGUCCACCACAUUGGAACUGAGACACGGUCCAAACUCCUACGGGAGGCAGCAGUGAGGAAUAUUGGUCAAUGGGCGGAAGCCUGAACCAGCCAAGUAGCGUGCAGGAUGACGGCCCUAUGGGUUGUAAACUGCUUUUAUACAGGAAUAAAGUUAGCCACGUGUGGUUAUUCGUAGGUACUGUAUGAAUAAGGACCGGCUAAUUCCGUGCCAGCAGCCGCGGUAA